GACCUCAAAUCAGGCAAGAAUACCCGCUGAACUUAAGCAUAUCAAUAAGCGGAGGAAAAGAAACUAACAAGGAUUCCCCUAGUAACGGCGAGUGAAGAGGGAAGAGCUCAAAUUUUAAAUCUGCCUUGUUUCAAGGUCGAGUUGUAAUUUGAAGAAGCGUUUUCUUGGGCUCGCGGCCGGUAGAAGUUCUUUGGAACAGGACAUCAUAGAGGGUGACAAUCCCGUCUGCGACCGGUCGUGCGUUCAUCUACGAUACGCUUUCAAAGAGUCGAGUUGUUUGGGAUUGCAGCUCCAAAUGGGUGGUAAACAUCACCUAAGGCUAAAUAUUGGCGAGAGACCGAUAGCGAACAAGUACCGUGAGGGAAAGAUGAAAAGAACUUUGAAAAGAGAGUUAAACAGUACGUGAAAUUGUUGAAAGGGAAACGAUUGAAGUCAGUCGUGCUGGCGCGAAAUCAACCCUCUCAUCGGGAGAUCACAUGUUGUGGCGAGCCUCAAAACCGCCACAGCGUGUGACCUCACGAUGAGGGGGAGCACUUUCGUGUCCGCUGGUUAACAUCAAUUUCGAACGUCAUAAAAAGGCUGGAGGGAUGUGGCUCCUUCGGGAGUGUUAUAACCUUUAGCGGAAUGUGGUGGUCGGGAUUGAGGAUUGCAACGAAUACCUUUAGGGCUGUUCCACCUGGCCUCUCUUUGGUAUCCUGGUGACGACAGCUUGCUGACGUCGUUAGGACUCGCCUUUGAACAGGCUAGAGUGUGAGCAAAUUCGUUAAGGAUGUUAACGUAAUGGCUUUAAACGACCCGUCUUGAAACACGGACCAAGGAGUCUAGCAUAUAUGCGAGUGUUUGAGUGUUGAAACUCGAGCGCGAAAUGAAAGUGAUAUUGGUAAGAUCCUCUUCCCCUCGGGGGAGCGGAGCAUUAUCGACCGAUCUGGAUAUUCUUUGAUAGAUUUGAGUAAGAGCA
RNAcentral lists this ribosomal RNA (958 nucleotides) under Entrophospora claroidea. Its description in RNAcentral is "partial 28S ribosomal RNA". It matches the Rfam family "Eukaryotic large subunit ribosomal RNA", at positions 1 to 802 of the family's 3401-position model. Lineage: Eukaryota; Fungi; Glomeromycota; Glomeromycetes; Entrophosporales; Entrophosporaceae. The record is from RNAcentral.